This 468-nucleotide ribosomal RNA is filed under the name uncultured bacterium. RNAcentral describes it as "partial 16S ribosomal RNA". It matches the Rfam family "Bacterial small subunit ribosomal RNA", at positions 28 to 507 of the family's 1533-position model. The record is from RNAcentral.
GACGAACGCUGGCGGCGUGCUUAACACAUGCAAGUCGAACGGAAAGGCCCUGCUUUUGUUAGUUUCUCGAGUGGCGAACGGGUGUGUAACACGUGUGUAACCUGCCCUUGACUUUGGGAUAACUUCAGGAAACUGGGGCUAUUACCGGAUAUGAGCUCCUGCUGCAUGUUGUGGGUUGGAAAGUUUCGGCGGUUGUGGAUGGACUCGCGGCUUAUCCGCUUGUUGGUGGGGUAGUGGCUUACCAAGGCUGUGACGGAUAGCCGGCCUGAGAGGGUGACCGGCCACAAUGGGACUGAGAUACGGCCCAGAAUGCUACGGGAGGCAGCAGGGGAGAAUAUGGCACAGUGGGCGGAAGCCUGAUACAGCAACGCCGCGUGCGGGAUGACGGCCUUCGGGUUGUAAACCGCUUUCGACUGUGACGAAGAGGGAGUGACGGUAAUGGGUAAAGAAGCACCGGCUAACUACGUG